CCUGGGGAGUACGCUCGCAAGGCUAAAACUCAAAGGAAUUGACGGGGGCUCACACAAGCGGUGGAGCAUGUGGCUUAAUUCGAAGCAACGCGAAGAACCUUAUCCAGGGCUUGACAUGCACGGAUUAGCUUCCCGAAAGGGAAGUGACGCGUUUACGUGGAACGUGCACAGGUGCUGCAUGGCUGUCGUCAGCUCGUGCUGUGAAGUGUCGGGUUAAGUCCCUUAACGAGCGAAACCCCUGUCGUUAGUUGCCAGCGAGUCAUGUCGGGGACUCUAACGAGACUGCCGGUGUCAAACCGGAGGAAGCUGGGGAUGACGUCAAGUCCUCAUGGCCUUUAUGCCCUGGGCUGCACACGUGCUACAAUGCGGCGUACAGUGCGAAGCGAUACCGUAAGGUGGAGCAAAUCGCAGAAAGCGCCGCUCAGUUCGGAUUGUGGUCUGCAACUCGACCACAUGAAGUUGGAAUCGCUAGUAAUCGCGUAUCAGCAUUGACGCGGUGAAUAAGUUCCUGAGCCUUGACACACCGCCCGUCACGUCAUGGGAGCUGGUAGCACCCGAAGUCGCACGAAUUCACGUGUGCCUACGGUGAGAUCGGUGACUGGGACGAAGUCGUAACAAGGUAGCCAUC
Molecule: ribosomal RNA, 628 nt
Filed under: uncultured bacterium
Lineage: Bacteria
Description: bacterial SSU rRNA
Rfam family: Bacterial small subunit ribosomal RNA
Source: RNAcentral